AUACGUAGGGUGCAAGCGUUAAUCGGAAUUACUGGGCGUAAAGCGUGCGCAGGCGGUUUUGUAAGACAGUGGUGAAAUCCCCGGGCUCAACCUGGGAACUGCCAUUGUGAAUGCAAGGCUGGAGUGCGGCAGAGGGGGAUGGAAUUCCGCGUGUAGCAGUGAAAUGCGUAGAUAUGCGGAGGAACACCGAUGGCGAAGGCAAUCCCCUGGGCCUGCACUUACGCUCAUGCACGAAAGCGUGGGGAGCAAACAGGAUUAGAUACCCUGGUAGUCCACGCCCUAAACGAUGUCAACUGGUUGUUGGGGACUUAUUUUCUCAGUAACGAAGCUAACGCGUGAAGUUGACCGCCUGGGGAGUACGGCCGCAAGGUUAAAACUCAAAUGAAUUGACGGGG
This 395-nucleotide ribosomal RNA is filed under the name uncultured bacterium. Its description in RNAcentral is "partial 16S ribosomal RNA". It matches the Rfam family "Bacterial small subunit ribosomal RNA", at positions 523 to 918 of the family's 1533-position model. The record is from RNAcentral.